UGGGGAAUUUUGGACAAUGGGCGAAAGCCUGAUCCAGCAAUGCCGCGUGUGUGAAGAAGGCCUUCGGGUUGUAAAGCACUUUUGUCCGGAAAGAAAUCCUUGGCUCUAAUACAGUCGGGGGAUGACGGUACCGGAAGAAUAAGCACCGGCUAACUACGUGCCAGCAGCCGCGGUAAUACGUAGGGUGCAAGCGUUAAUCGGAAUUACUGGGCGUAAAGCGUGCGCAGGCGGUUUGCUAAGACCGAUGUGAAAUCCCCGGGCUCAACCUGGGAACUGCAUUGGUGACUGGCAGGCUAGAGUAUGGCAGAGGGGGGUAGAAUUCCACGUGUAGCAGUGAAAUGCGUAGAGAUGUGGAGGAAUACCGAUGGCGAAGGCAGCCCCCUGGGCCAAUACUGACGCUCAUGCACGAAAGCGUGGGGAGCAAACAGGAUUAGAUACCCUGGUAGUCCACGCCCUAAACGAUGUCAACUAGUUGUUGGGGAUUCAUUUCCUAGUACGUAGCUAACGCGUGAAGUUGACCGCCUGGGGAGUACGGUCGCAAGAUUAAACUCAAUG
RNAcentral lists this ribosomal RNA (555 nucleotides) under uncultured bacterium. Its description in RNAcentral is "partial 16S ribosomal RNA". It matches the Rfam family "Bacterial small subunit ribosomal RNA", at positions 355 to 906 of the family's 1533-position model. The record is from RNAcentral.